This 360-nucleotide ribosomal RNA is filed under the name uncultured bacterium. RNAcentral describes it as "bacterial SSU rRNA". It matches the Rfam family "Bacterial small subunit ribosomal RNA", at positions 30 to 389 of the family's 1533-position model. The record is from RNAcentral.
AUUGAACGCUGGCGGCAUGCUUUACACAUGCAAGUCGAACGGCAGCACGGGUGCUUGCACCUGGUGGCGAGUGGCGGACGGGUGAGUAAUACAUCGGAACGUGUCCAGAAGAGGGGGAUAACGCAUCGAAAGAUGUGCUAAUACCGCAUAUGCUCUGAGGAGGAAAGUGGGGGAUCGAAAGACCUUACGCUUUUGGAGCGGCCGAUGUCUGAUUAGCUAGUUGGUGGGGUAAGGGCCUACCAAGGCGACGAUCAGUAGUUGGUCUGAGAGGACGACCAGCCACACUGGGACUGAGACACGGCCCAAGACUCCGUACGGGAGGCAGCAGGUAGGGGUAAUUUUGGAACAAGUGGGCGACAA